Long non-coding RNA from Acinonyx jubatus (cheetah), 2916 nucleotides. RefSeq lists it as uncharacterized. The transcript has 3 exons. Lineage: Eukaryota; Metazoa; Chordata; Mammalia; Carnivora; Felidae. The record is from RefSeq and is a predicted model, not a curated record.
GCGCUUGCAUUCUGCGCAUGCGCAGGCUGUUCUCGCCCGUAGAAACCCGUGGCCCCGCAGGCGCCCGGGGGCGCUGGUUGGCUGGGGUCUGCGUGUGGCGGGUUGGGCGCUUGAGUGCUGGGGAACACUCGGAAGUCGUUUUAGCCCCGUUCUGUAUUUUCUUUUAUUAUUGAAUCCUAAAACAGCCCGAAGAAGGCGGGGGGGGGGGGGGGCGUAAGGAUUAGGGAUGCUUGCCUCCCAUUCAGAGAUAAGGAAACUGAGGUUCAGAAAGGCUGCCAGACACCAUGAAUCUAUGACAGCGUCCCUUGUUGUCUCUUGCCUCCUUUUCUCUCCCAGCAAAUAUAAUCUGGGGGCACCUGGGCCCCACCAGACCGGCCUCUCUGAUCACACUCAAGGAUUAACAAUCAGCUGUACUGUGGGCAGAUGCCCUGUCUCACAUACAGAGGAUCAAAAGGCUGGUUUGAGAAGGGAGUUCGUUUCCUGACCGGCCUCCAGGUCCUGUGAGGUCCAACCACUGACCACUGCUCCCCACUCAGCUGCAGCCACACUGGCCACUUUCUGCUUCUCAAAUGUGCAUACCUUGUCCUCACCUCUCAUGGGUUGAACUGCAUCUCUCCCCAAAAUAUCUAGAAGCCCUUGGAACCUGUGAGUGGGAUCUUAUUUGAAAAUUAGGUCUUUACAGAUGUAAUUUAAGGAUCUGGAGAUGAGGUCAUCCUGGAUUUAGGGUGGCCAUAACCCCAAUGACUUGGUGUCCUUACAAGAAGGCCAUGUGAAGACACACGCACACAGGGAGAACUCUGAUGGGGGAGACAGGGGUUGGGGGAGGCAGCCACCAGCCAAGAAUUACCAGCAACCACCAGAAGGUGAAAAAGGUGAGGAAGGAUCCUCCCCUAAAGACUUCAGAGAGAACACGGCCCUGCUGACACCUUCAUUUUGGAUCUCUAGUCUCCAGAAGUGUGAGAAGAUACAUUUCAGUUGUUCUAACCCUCCCCCCCCCAUUUAUGGUAAUUUAUUACAGGAGCCCAAGGACACUAACACAUCAUCUCAGGGCCUUUGCAUGUCCUGAGCGCUUCUUUUUUUUUUUUUUUUCCUUUAUGUUUAUUUAUUUAUUUUUGAGGGAGACAGAGACAGCAUUGAGUGGGGCAGAAAGAGAGGGAGAGAGAAAAUCCCAGGCAGGCUCCACGCUGUCAGCACAGAGCCUGAUGUGGGGUUCAAACUCACGAAACCACGAGAUCAUGACCUGAGCCCAAACCAAGAGCCAGAGGCUUAACCGACAGAGCCACCGAGGUGCCCCCCGAAUUCUUCUUUCAACUCUUCACCUGAUCGAGGCCAGUUCAUCCCUUGAGCCUCAGCCCGAGAGGACACGUCCAUCGACAUUCGGUCCCGGCCGACGCUGACUCUGAGUGCACCCACCACCUUCCCCAGCAGCUUGUAACUGCCUAGGCAUUUGCUUGCCUACAGGUUUAACACUUGCCCCGCCUAGAAGGUACUCCUCAGUGGGCGGGGGCUGUGUCUGCUUUUGCUCACCGCGGUGGAUGAUGGCAGCCCCCUCCCCUGAAGGACUGUUUGUAGAGCCUCUCCCCGGCUGCAGAGAGCCGCCUUGCCCAGGUCCUACCCUACCGUUUUGGCCUCGAUCCACCGACUGCUUGGUGUGGGGGGUUGUAGAGUCUCGGCCUCCUUGCCCUAAUUAGGGGCAACCCCGGAGUUUUGGCCGCUCUUCAAAAUUCUUUGCGAGGUCUGCGAGGUCUCUUCUGACACUGCAGUCCAGCCGGGCUCAUCCUUCCGGCCCUUCCUGCUCCUUCCCUGUCCUUGCCCGGGUUCCCCCCCGGAUCCCAAGAGCACCCCCUCAUGAGCCCGCUUGUACUAAACUCCAUCUCAGACUUGGUGUCCUGAGAACCCCAUGCACAAGGAUGUCCCGACGCUGGGUGCACGCGGGAGAACGGUACCAACUGCAUAAAAACAGUUGUUUGUGGUAAAUGAAUGAACUUGAACUGCUGUGGUCCUUCCACCCCCUCCAGGUGCCUGCCCUUAGCAUCCCAGGCCAGUCACCCUUGUCUGCCUCCCUUUCUUUCUUUCUUUCCUUCCUUCCGUCCUUCCUUUUCUAGUAACGAUCUCCUAAGCCAACAGGUGGCACACUUUUUCUGUAAAGGCCGAACUAUUUGGGCUUCAUGAGCCACGAAAGUCUCUGUCACAACCACUCAGUUCUACCAUCGUGAGCAGCCACAGACAAUACAUAAGUGAAUGAGUGUGGCUGUGUUUAUUCCAAUAAAAUGUUAAUGACGAGGCAAGGGGCCAGAUUGCUAACUGCUGGCCCCGAUUUACUUUAGUGGCUCUAAGGCACUGUCACUCUGUUCCCUCUGCUUAGGUGUCAACCCUCCGAAAAUAGAAAAAGCAUACUUAGCUUGCAGGUCAUACAAAAGCAUGCCAUGGGCAAUACAUGGCCCAUGGGCCAGUUUGCCAACACUUGCUCCAGAUAAAUAUUUUAUUCAAGUGCACGUAUGGACAUUUUCAAAGCUUUUUAAAAAAAAAAAAAAGUUUUUAUUUAUUUUUGAGGGAGAGAUGCAGUGGGGGAGGGGCAGAGACAUACAGAGACAGAAUCCGAAGCAGGCUCCAGGCUCCGAGCUGUCAGCACAGAACCCGACGGAACAUGACCUGAGCCGAAGUCGGAUGCUUGACCAACUGAGCCACCCAGGUGCCCCUAAACUGGCUCAUUUAAACCUCACAAUAACCCAGUGAUGUGGGUACAUUUAUUAACUCCAUUUUACAGAUGAGGAAACUAAGGCAUAGACAGGGGAAGUGACUCAACCAAGCUCACUCAGGAAGUAGGAGGUGAGAAAUCAGAGCCUGUGUCCUAUUCGCUGCAGCACACGGCGUAGAAGCCGCUCCCAGAACUCAGGGUCAAGCUCGAUGCCUCCU